UUUAAUCUUUGAUUUUCUCACAAAAGCGUUUGAAUCCUCCCAAUGCUCGCUGCGCUUCCCUGUUGUCUGCUUGCGGCGUGACGCACAUGCGAAGUAGUUGUCUACUGGGUUAGCCGUGCUGUACCCAGAAAAAUUACAGUGACCUGCGUAGUAGGAGCGCUUGAAAGCAUUUAAGCCCAAAUACUGUAGAGGAAUGCAAUUCAAAACAUGAGACCGAACGGGCCUGUCGUGGCAGCACAACAGUGAUACAGGGGCAUCUAAAAAGGAAGUUCUUCCCCAGGAAAUCGGAAAUAAGACGCACAGCUGAAGGAAGGUCCUGCAAGGAAUUUGUCCAUAAAUUCAUCCCAGGUUCCAGGGUCUUCAAGGAAAGUGGCCAUCUGGUGGAAGUAAUAGGAAGACACAAUGACAUCCUUGGGGUUCCUCAUUACAUAGAUCACCUGAGGAUGGAGCCAGGGAACUCUAUCCCAGUUGGGAAUGGUUUGAAUGGGCGUCAAGUCCCCCCCACUCAGCACCAGCGGGAGGAGCUCUUGCAUCCAGAUUGUACCUGCAGAGGAGAGCAUUUUAUAUUACUAUGUACAUUACUGUAUACACAGCGUAGGUAUGCCAAAAGUUGUAUAAAUCUUGUUGUUGUUUUUACUAAGAAUGUACAAAAUUAACACUUUAAUAAUAAGUGCUUUUCACAAUUUUAGUCUAAGUCGUUUGUUCAAUUACAAAUCGACAUUCAAGAGAAGUAAUGCACAGUUCACACUCACAGAACCACACCUUUUGCUGGCAAUUCACUCCACAACACCGGUAAUUAGCUCCCAUUCUAGUUCAGCUCAUGCUUUUCAUGUACGAGUUGACAUAAUGUACGUUUCUGACUUUCAUGUUAUAUGUAUUGUUACUAUUCUUUUGAAUGACGCAAAGUCAAGAUUCAUAUAAUUCCAUGAUUCUCUUUCGUCUGCGCAAUAUUGCAAUGUCCACACACUUACACGCCAUUUGGAUAGAGAAUUCGAUGGUGCAACUUAUUGCCAUGCUUCCCCCCUUAGUGUUUAUUAUCAGCUCCCUGGCAUAGACUGCACCAUCAUUCAGUACAGAAACAAAAACACCAACUUGACCAAGGUUGAGUGAACAUCUGAUUCAUCAAAAAAUAAAUAAAUAAAUAACAAAUCAAGUAGUAUACUAUAAAUCACAGAUCAAACCUAUCUGGUGUCAGUGGUAGCUGAUAAACACUUACAUGGACUCCAUAUUAGCAAAAAAUUAUCCUACGAUACAUAAGGACCGCCAGAGGCAAC
Molecule: long non-coding RNA, 1274 nt
Organism: Phyllopteryx taeniolatus (common seadragon)
Lineage: Eukaryota; Metazoa; Chordata; Actinopteri; Syngnathiformes; Syngnathidae
Exons: 4
Source: RefSeq, a predicted model, not a curated record